Molecule: RNA transcript, 692 nt
Organism: Eucalyptus grandis
Lineage: Eukaryota; Viridiplantae; Streptophyta; Magnoliopsida; Myrtales; Myrtaceae
Exons: 2
Source: RefSeq, a predicted model, not a curated record
UGGGAGGAUUACCUGUCCGAUUCGGAUUAGCAUUAGAGGUCGCAGUGCAAAUAUUUAUCAAAAAGAAGGAUAGCCUCUCUCCACUCACGCUCCAGCUCGCCACCGUCUUCUUCGUCAUGUCGCGCGUGUAGAACAAACGCCUGCUUUGCCUCCUAGUCUUGCUCGUACAACCUCCUCACUCCCCCUCCACUCACGCUCCUUCAUCUCCUCCAUCACUACCGCCUGAAGAACCCCAGCGUCCCCGACGCGCGUCGCAUCCUGUCGAUCGCCUCCUUCCUCUUUGGCCGGGUCCGCCGAGGUCGAUGAUCGGGAAGCUGAGAUUCUCAGAUCCGCCGCUCGAUUCGGAGCUGCCUGCCUUCGGAUGUCUCCUGCGGUCGGAUGACGAAAUUCUAGGGAUUUCGGUGAUCCCGGCGUCGACGAGGCCUUUGACGCCGGCUUUCGAGUCGUCGCCCGCUCUGUCGUAGCUUUCUGCUCGCCGGAGUCGGAGGCCAAAUCGAUGGUAGGCAUUGUUCCUCUCUCUCUCUCUCUCUCUCUCUCUCUCUCUCUCUCUCUCUCUCUACUGCAAUUCAAUUUUCACUGUGAAUGUGUAAUAAGUUUGGAUUAUGAAUCGAAUGUUAUGGAGACAUUUGGAUUAUGAUUUGAGUGUUAUGGAAACAGUACAAUGUUAAUGCAUGAUAUGAGCAUCUUCUUUA